This is a long non-coding RNA of Brassica napus (rape), 7670 nucleotides long. RefSeq lists it as uncharacterized. The record is from RefSeq and is a predicted model, not a curated record. Lineage: Eukaryota; Viridiplantae; Streptophyta; Magnoliopsida; Brassicales; Brassicaceae. The transcript is spliced from 3 exons.
GCUGGAAUGGAUCGAGUCGCUUCUAUCGGGUCGCGGACGUCCUUUGUUGCUUGAUCGGGAACGUUGGUACGCAAGCUGGUACUUGCAGUCAAAGAACUCGUAGAUCUGGAACAGUUUGAACACGGACUGGAACAGGCUGAUCGUACAAUCUGGAAUAGUUGAGGCGUACUAAAACUUGCAGAGAUCAGUCCACAGAUCGAUCUUGUUGAGAUCAGUGGUCGAAUACAGAUCAGGGUCAUGAUCAAAGAGAGGUGAUCGAUAGAGAUUAGGGUUUUAGCAAUGGAGAGAGAUUUAGGGUUUAUGGUCGAUAUUUUAGCUUAGGGUUUUAAAGAUCAAUCGUUCUGAUAACGUGUUAUAAAAGUAAUGGAAUAGUCUAUUUUUAUUCAUAACAUAGAAGUUCCUUAUAUAUGAUAUUACACCGUCAUAGAUAAAUAUAAAGAUUACAAAUCAUAAUCUCUCGGUUAUGAGCCAUCCAAAAUCUGGUUCAUAACACCUACCUACAUUAAUUUGUAGUGAUUUUCCAUUCCAAUUAUGAAUGGAUUUGCUAACAUAUAGGUUAAAAUUCCAAAUAUUUUUCUUAAUCUGAUUUCCCCUCUCAUUAUACUUAAACUGGUUUCUCCUCACAUUUCGUGUAUGACCAAAAUCUUCCAAUAAGACAAAAAAAAAAUGCACAAGUGUGUAUGGAACCAUGGAUAGUUGAAUAUACAAGUAGUUAUAUCAUUUCUUCUUUAUUGGGACAUACAAUAUCUAAACCCGUAAAUAUAUGAGCUCGGCCCAGUUCGACCCAAAAAUAUUUUGGGCAUAGAAUUCAAAUUUCGGCCCGGCCAAUAUAGGGUUAUAGGAUUUUUGGGCUUUUCAAAAAAUAAUUUUUCUUUGUUGUUUUAAUACAUGUGAAUUUUCAUAAAAAACCAGUCUCAACUUUUUGUUUUAGAAUAUAAAGUGAGUUUAAAUUUUUCUUCUUUAUCAAAAAUAUUUUACUUUUUAGUAUGUUUUAUACGUUUUACUUUUUUUGUAUGCUUCAAAACAUAUUAUAAACUAACCAAAAUUAAUAAGAUUUAAAUAAUCAAAUAUAAAUUAAAAUUAAAUAUAGAAGAGAACAAAAUUUAUGAUAAACAUGAUCAAACGUUUCAGACUUUGUAUGUUGAAAAAACAAACAUGUUAUAGAAUAAUAAGGUACAUUUGCAAAAUUUAAAAUGUGACAUUUGUAAUGAUUAAACAAUAGGGUGCAUUAGCAACUUUCAUAUUUGUUUUAUUAGAGUUUGGAUCAAAAAUAUUUAAAUAAUAUGGCAAUACUAAUAAUGGUUUGGAUUGCAAAAAUGAUAAUAUUUAAACUAAAAUAUAAAGUGUUGGGUUUUUGGACCGGCCUAGCCCAAAUAGGCUUAGGGCCAAAAUAUCCAAAGCCCAAAUUUUUUUUGCUUUUAAAAUUAAGCUCAACCCCGGUAAUUUUUAGGCUCAGACGAGUUUGGACUGCAGGCUUUGGCCCUAAUUGACAUGUUUAACAAUAUCACUUAACACUAAACGUGACGCACCAAAUGAUUUACAAAAACGAGAUUUUUUUUUUUUUUUUUUUUUUUUUUUUGUCACUGGGCGCUCUCUGGAAUCCCGGAGGAGUCGAAUCCGUGUGCCUUGGGAUCCAGUUCACUCUAGUGUUUUACCACAAAAACGAGAUUUGAUCACAAUUUAUGAAUACAAAGCUUUCGUGACCAUCUUAUUCAUGAAAGGUUAAUAUCGAUACUAUAUAUACGCGGAUUUAUGUUAUAUUACGUAUAAAAAAUCAAGAAAUAUACUAAUUUGGAUUGUAACUUAAACUUAAUAAGCAACCCGCCUUAAAACGUGGUUAUGUUUUAUUUUUAAUAAAACCAAUAAAUAAAAUGUUACAAAUUAUAGGAAAAUAUCUUAUUAAAAUAUUGGGAAAAAUAUCUGAAUUCGAAGAACUAAACCGAACCAGAUCUAAAAAGGUUAAAAUGUUUGCAUUCAAGGUUCCACUCAUAAUCAUUUGAAAAGGUGUUAAAGAUAAAAAAAAAAAAUUUAUCAACUUUGAGUGAUGAAUGGGUGACCGGAGUAUUGCUUGUGCCUUAUGAUGCCAAACUGUACUUAUGGCUUGUUUCUCUGUACUUGUUGGUGUUAGUAAAAUAAUUCUUUAUUCCUAGCUUGUAAUGUUUCUUUACCCGAGGCAUAAAGAGUGUCUUAGAAGUACAAUAUAUGUAAACACUUUACUGUUAAAAAUUUGGUUGGUAAUUCAUUUCAGAUGAAAUACAAACAAUAUAAAAAUUAAGAUGUAGAAACAGUUUUGUUGACUUUAUAGUUAUCAUUUUAAUGAAUAAACAUUAGUUUAAAAAACUCACUCACGCAUGCGCGCAGGUUAUUAUCUAGUCAUUAGUUAUUCGAUAUUAAAUUAAACAUUUAAACUAUAAUGCAAUUUAAUGAAUUCAAUUUAAUGAUAAUAGUUUUUACCUAGGGAAACUUCACAAAUCUAAUAUAAAUCAUUGUUAAACUUAAACAAAUUAAUAGAGUUAACGGUCAAUUUUAUACAUUUAACUCCAUUAUAUAUUCAUUCCAUUUCUCUAACCUUGCCUCCCAUGUAAAUUUAGUAAAUCAUGUAUAUAUCUUCACAAUAGCUUCCUUACAAAUCGAGAAUCAAUUAAUUCCAUAUUUAAGGUUUAAACCAUUUUGACCAAACACAAUCCAUUGUACAUUCUCAAGCAACUUAUUCCUAAUAUCUUCCGGAAUAUUCAAAUAUCAGUUUUCAUAUUCUGGGGUUUGGUUUUAACAAUAACAAGCGGUUGAAUAGAGUAUAUAUAUUUAUUUGAUAUGAUUUAGUUAAAAAUGAAAUAUUAAGAUAUACUAUCCUACUUCUAAUCUCGCCAUGUCUAGCCUCUUAACCUAGAUUCUAAAACCCAUCUAUAUAUACUACUCCGAGUCUUACUCUCUACCCAUCCACAAUUCACAUAAAACAUGUCUAACCCUACAAAUAUGUCUCUCCUUAAGGAUUUCAAACCUUACAAGACCAGCUGGCGAGUUCUUCUCCAUUCGUGGAAGCAGAACACCAGUUAUGCAGGAGAACCCUUGAGUGUAUUCUUGCAGACGAAACUGUACGAUAAAAUUCAAGUCAUAUAUCAUUAGACCAAAAAUAUCAUCUUAUAACAUUUUUUUGUCAAAUAAAUAUUUGUAAUCGUGUUUCAUAAUCUGUCUGGUCUAUAUCACAGCUUUAGAAGUUGAAUUUUAUUAACCAUCAAAUCUUUUUUGGUCGUAGGGUGUAAAAAUUCAUGCGAGUUGCAAAAGAACUCUAAUCUUUAAUGUUCAACGUAGUCUACCGGUCGGAGAAUGGAGGAUUUUAUAGGUAAAUUUUCUAUAUCAUAGGCUUCUGGUCAAUUUAGACCAACAAACCUCCAAUACAAAAAAUGACUAUCAAGGAGACACAAUGAUAACGAGUUCUGAUUUCGGAAUGAUAGUCACUUCCUUUCUCAAGCCAGUUAUGAGGCUAUUGGUAAUGGGAAUCUCAACACCUACUUUCUAACUGGAAAGUUCGUUCUUACUUUCCUAGAUAAUUCUAAAGAGUUUUCAUGUCAUUCUUUCAUUCAAAACUAACUGAUAAACAACAAUUCACGCAGGUGUAAAAUUAAAAAAUGUCAUACUCCUUUCGAUCGUCAAUAAAGUAUGUUCAUCAUGAACGGGAAGUCCCUGGCCUGUAACAUACAAAAAAGACAAAAAAACAAGAAAAAAAAACAUGAAUAUGAGACUGUUGAGUAUAUCUAACCUUCUUUGUGUCUGCUUUUCUUUAUAUUCAUGUGGUUUCAUUCCUUGAAACUACACUCAUGAUCUUUCUAUCUUCGACCCUUUCUUCCAAAGUAAUAUAUUUCUCUCUUCCCUUCUCCCUGCUUUUCAUAUUCCACCCUUUCAUCAUAUGUAAUGAUGGUUUCUUAUUAUUAGAAUAUAUUCCUAAAAAUCCCAUAAGCAAUCAAAAUUAUUAGAUCAAAUUUCAAUGGGUUCUCAUAUCUUACAAAAAAGAUAGACAUACCUAUGUCUGUCAAAUGUGAUUCAAUAUAAGCUCAUAACACUGAGUGUUUCGUUUAUCCGGAGAGCGAAGAUGAAAUUCCACAAAUCUUCUGAUAUUUACUUGGAUUUCUUAUCGGAGUCACACAUAAUAUCUGACUUGGUAUAUUAAAUAUACUUGGAUUUGUUCAGAUCAUUAUUUGUCUAACGAAAUCGAAACCCAUAGAUCAGCAAAAAAAAGUAAUAGCAAAUUAGAGACGGGAAAAUGAUCUAACCUUUAGAUUUUAAAACUGUGUGAGAUAUAGAUUUGAACCAUAUUUGAGAUACAACUAAUCAUCUUCAAGGUUUUUGUUUCCGAUUGUUAAAAUUAGUGGGAGUAAAGAGAGAGAGGAUGAGAGAUCGUCACUGAAUCGACAUAAAGAGAGCAAGACUCAAAUGAUUUGUGCUUAGUCGAAUUUUAAACUGUAAAUAUGACAUCCAAUGAUAUAUUAUUUGAAUAAGUCUUUUUAACAUUUAUUACAUAUUAAAACAUAUCUUUAUAUAUAAAAGAAGCUUUGUUUCUCUCCUAGGUAUGCCAACAAGGACGCCAGAUAAGAAAUUCGUUGCACGACAGCUUGACACGUGUCCAAGGGGAACAAAGCUCAGCGUUUCAUUUAAUUGUGAAACACUUUCUUUGUGGGCUACGUAAUGUUUAUGUUUGGGACUGAAGUGAAAGUUAUUGGGCUCCGCAUCAGUCGGCGUCAUCCUUUCUUCCUCCUCUUGAAUCCUCGGCGGAAACUUCUCUAUUCUAAGUUCUGCUUCUAUUCAUCUUCCAAACGAAAAAAAUCUAGAAACGUUACGGAGUUAGGCUGAGUUGAAGCGUCGUCUUCAAUGCACUCACUAGCCAUUGGUCUCUACUCCUCACACGAUCUAUCUUUAAAAGCACCCACCUCCCUUUACUUUCUUUUUCAGAAUCUUCCACUAUAAAAAGGUGUGCUUUAUCCCGUGAAAUUCAUCAAUCUAAUAGUCUCAAUCUUGAGCUUCCUAAAACAAUAGCCAGGUCUAUCUUUAUCCUUUCCACAUCACAAUUAUAUGCCCGUCAAUGUUUCCUACAGCUCUAGAUCUAUCGUCGCGACCUCUCCUAUUGUUUUCUUCAACGACGUCUUUUCAGGAGUAAGCGAAGAGAAGAUGAGAAAUCAUCUCUUUCCAAAGGUCAUCAAUGUUGGUAUGAUUUCAGCUUCGAAGAACAAAGAUUUAUCAUCUUCCUUUGAUUUUUCUUUUUUUCUACUCUCAGUGAUUUCCAUACCUCCUCAUUUGUUAAGCAAAUUUAGAAUUUUCCGUAGCCCAUUAUUGGCCUUUUAUAUGCAUGAUCAAUCUGGACUAAUGGGUUUACUGGUAAGCUAUCUUACCUUCCCUUUUAUUUUCAGUGUAAAGGAACAAAGCUGAACCUGAGUUAAACAUGUAUAUGUGUGUGAAAUUUUGAUUUGAUGGUCUGGGAGGUGAUUGGGGAUAUCAGCUUUCUCAGAAGAAGACAACAUAUUCUGAAGGUGCUGAUUACAGAGUUAAGGAAGACAAAUAUAUUCUCACUCGCUUUCUCCAACGAUUGUCUUUUCUAAACCCCCAAAAUCAUGAAUUUUUGCUUCCAUCCCAGUGUGGAUGUCUAUGACAAUAUUUGUUUCGAUAUUCUUCAGGUAUAAAACAAUCAUUUUGCUUCUACUACUACUUGUGUUUAACUGGUUAAUCUCAAGCUACCAUAUAUCAAAUAAGCUAUAUAACUUUAAAGGAAACAGAAAAAAUGUUUUACAUUUUUUGUAGGAUAAAUGGUCAUCCGUUUGAUGCAGAAAUGUUCUACUUGAGGCAUGUAUGCGCAAAGUGACAGAAGAGUCAGCAAAACGUCGAGCCGUUUGGUCUGAAAAGUGGCCAGAGUAGAGAUUGUUCAUCAGUGGUUGGAUUCUAAGGAAGACACAUAUGGAAAUCAGCACAAGAGGAUUUCACAGCAGACAUGUACGUUGAAAAACUAUUGUUUCAGAGUCAUACCUCAAGGGUGUAGGAAUUGAUUGGUGGUAUGUGAGAAACGUUAUGGAUUGAGAGCGAGAGCUGUAUAUGGAGGUUUUAUUGCUGCAUUGAAGGAUCUGAGACUUUGUGUGAUUAAUGUACUUUCCUCAAACUUACGAUCUUCAUGAUGAUUCAUCUAUUCUCUGCACUGAAGAAGAGGUGCAGCUUGGUGUCUGUAAUGGCUGAAGUGGACCGAAUUCUUAUACCACAAGGAACAUUUAUAGUAAGUGAUGACAUGGAAAAGAUAGGAGAAAUUGAGAAGAUGGUGGAAUCACUGAAAUUGAAUGUAAUAAUGACACAUUCCAGAUAUGAAAAAGGAGUGAUCUCUGUUCAGAAGUCAUGGUGGAGUCCUACAGAGGUCGAGACCAUUACAUCGGCGAUAGCAAGUGAAAGAGAAUUGGUUUAAUAUAUAUAGUUUUAUGAGAAUGUUUCUUUUAUGAUCACGUUGAUUGUUUACAUUGUAUUAGGCUAAUAUGUGUAUCCUUUUUUGCAUUGACGAAGAUUGUAUACAAGACAUUGUCCCUAUAAUGUAAGCUUUUAUAAGUUUUUUAUUCGGUCCUAAACAGCCGUGGAAUAUUUACUACUGCAGCAAACUUAUAUAGACUUUCUAUUUGAACUAUAGGUAUGAUGAGCUCAUGUUAAUUACAUCACCAAAGAACUCUUAAUAGAAAAAUAAACUAGAGCAAAAAGAAUUAUUAAAUUAAAAAAAAAUUGUAACAAAUUUAAAAUUUAACUUAUUAAAUUGAAUAACAAAAUAUAGUAAAAUUGUUACUAUAAGAAAUAACUUAUAAAAUAAAGUCAAUGUAAAUUCUCAUACCGAAAAUUAAUCAAUAAAUCUUAUAUUAAAAAUUAUAAUUAGUUAUUCAGAUAACAUGGUUUUGUUUGGUGUCCAAAUAUAGUAGCAUAAACAAAAUUCAAAUAAAUAUCUAUAUUUUUAAGUAGUAACAAUUGAUAUUAGAUUUUUAUGCUAUCGAUGAAUUACCUACUUUUUUUUUAGUUACUGUAAAAGAAAAUAGGUAAUUCUUGGCGGUUAAACUCAAUCUCCAUGUUAUACUUAUUAUGUCUAUAUAUAUAUAUAUAAACAUAAUAGAUAUAGACACGUUUUCAUCGAUAAUCACAACUAUUAUAUUAGAAAAUUUAGUCACCUAACGAAACUAACUUUGUGUCUUUACAGUAAACGACUUCAACAAAAAAGUGAUAAAAAUUUAAAAAGAAAUUAUAAAAUAACAUUCCAUACAUUAAUUAAAAUAAAAUAAUUUAAACUAAAAAAAAUGUUAAGCAAAAUAUAAUAGAGAAACUUCUCGCGCGUGGAAUAUGAUGAGUCCAUGUAAAUAUUACAUAACCAUUAUAAAAAUAGGAGAUCUCCAUUAUAGAAAUGUACUAUUUGUAUUGAUAAUUGAUAGAAUUAGAGAGAUGGAGAUGCUCUUAACACGAAACAAUUUGGUUUUGGUUCGUACUCAAUUAUAUGUUCGCUUCAGUUUCAAAUGUAUUUUGUUAAGAAAUUGUACAAUCAGUGAUGUUCUUGCUUUAGUCGAUAAUGUUUGGCAAUAACAAUAUUUAACUGAUAACAUGGAGAUUCAUUAUAUCGACACAAAAUAAUGAAAAAAUAAAUAAUAUAUAUAGUAGAAAGUCUAUAAAUUAAU